ACAGGGACAGAUCCCAGGUCUAAACCCUAGCCAAAACCCCUUGUGUUAGAGGAGCUCACCCUUUACUGCUGAUGAAAUCUCCAUGAUGAAGUGCUUUCCUGGUGACACCCAGAGAUCGUUUGCUAUGUGAAUGCUUUUCUUGCUCAAAUUUCAACAAACAUGAUUGCCAAAAAAGAAAAAAAAAAGAAGAGAAAAGAGAACAGAAAAGAAGAAAAGAAAAGAAAGAAAGGAGAAGAGAGAGAAAGAGAGAAGAGAAGAGAAGAGAAAAGAAGAAAAGAAAAGAAAAGACCAGACCAGACCCAUAGAAUCCUAUGGGAUCUGCUGACAUGUUUGUCUGAACUUCGUCUUCCAUAUCACUGUCAAGAUAGUUUUUCUAACUCACCACUCCAAAAUCUAUGAAAAGCCUCCAUAAGCCCCUAGUUGCCCUCCAAAUUAUAACUGCAUUUGGUUCACACUUUUCCCUCCUCCUGAAGUGACUUUCCUUCUUAUUCCGCUUUUAAAAACUUUAUCACCUGCAAAAUUCACUUCAAAAAGAGCUCCCUCCAUGAAGGUUUAAUUACUCUCUUGGCCCUAAAGGAAUGACAUCUCCUGUUUGGCCUGUUCACAUUGCUGCACUGCACUGGUAACUCUUCAACGAAACCCAUUUUUACUCUUACCUCUUAUUGUUACUUAUGUACAGGUCUUAUUGCCUCUCUCAACCUCAACUAAACUAUUUAAGAGAAGUGUACUCAUCUGUUUAUUUCCUGCUGAGUCUAGUCCAAUCUCUUAUAAUUUUUAGACCAUUAAGUACUAAAUCGCUAACACCUGGAAUUUCAAAGACAACAGUGGAAAGGAAAUGAGACUUGGAAUCAAAAGACUUCAGUUUCAAUCUAAAGUCCCUGAAUGUGUAAACUAUUGUGAUUUUUCUUAGCUACAGUCCUCUCACUUAUAAAAUGUUUACUGU
Molecule: long non-coding RNA, 943 nt
Filed under: Homo sapiens (human)
Lineage: Eukaryota; Metazoa; Chordata; Mammalia; Primates; Hominidae
Description: HSALNT0112081
Source: RNAcentral